Molecule: unclassified non-coding RNA, 125 nt
Filed under: Marvinbryantia formatexigens
Lineage: Bacteria; Bacillati; Bacillota; Clostridia; Lachnospirales; Lachnospiraceae
Description: Clostridiales-1 RNA
Source: RNAcentral
CGUUUACAAGGAAGGUCUGAAUCCACGCUGUGCUUGCACAGAAGUGGAUGAAAGACCUUGGGACCCGCCCCGAUAUGAGCAUAAAAGUGGGAUGUACAUGGAAAUACCCGGAAAGAAGGGAAGCG